RNAcentral lists this ribosomal RNA (497 nucleotides) under uncultured bacterium. Its description in RNAcentral is "partial 16S ribosomal RNA". It matches the Rfam family "Bacterial small subunit ribosomal RNA", at positions 28 to 507 of the family's 1533-position model. The record is from RNAcentral.
GAUGAACGCUGGCGGCGUGCCUAAUACAUGCAAGUCGAGCGAACAGACGAGGAGCUUGCUCCUCUGACGUUAGCGGCGGACGGGUGAGUAACACGUGGAUAACCUACCUAUAAGACUGGGAUAACUUCGGGAAACCGGAGCUAAUACCGGAUAAUAUAUUGAACCGCAUGGUUCAAUAGUGAAAGACGGUUUUGCUGUCACUUAUAGAUGGAUCCGCGCCGCAUUAGCUAGUUGGUAAGGUAACGGCUUACCAAGGCGACGAUGCGUAGCCGACCUGAGAGGGUGAUCGGCCACACUGGAACUGAGACACGGUCCAGACUCCUACGGGAGGCAGCAGUAGGGAAUCUUCCGCAAUGGGCGAAAGCCUGACGGAGCAACGCCGCGUGAGUGAUGAAGGUCUUCGGAUCGUAAAACUCUGUUAUUAGGGAAGAACAAAUGUGUAAGUAACCAUGCACGUCUUGACGGUACCUAAUCAGAAAGCAACGGCUAACUACGUG